CCACCUUGGAAAAUUUCUCUGGCACUAGAGGAAAGAAACUCAGCUUCUGGUUUCCCCCCUCAGUCCCCGAGCCUCUGCCCACAUUGUGGCUCUGCAUCCUUUUCUAGAGGAUCUGCGUGCUAUUUAAAAUGCUUUGUCAUAAAGCAGAACUCUUCCCUCCUUUCUGUCACUCUGUAGGAGGGGAGAGGAGUCCCUCCCUCCAUUUUGACUCUGAAGUUUUCUGACUUGCACUAUGCCAGCCUUUCUACCCAAUUGCCCAAGCAUUUCUCAGCUAAAGUGAUCCUUAGUAGCUUGAAUUCUUGUCACAAUGUGUUCAGGCUGCUAUAACAAAAUACCAUAGGCUGGGUGGUUUAUAAACAAAGGAAAUUUAUUUCUUAGAGUUCUGGAGGCUGUUCGGAAGUCUAAGGUCAGGAAUGCAGUAGGUUCGGUGUCUGGUGAGUGUCUGCUUCGUGGUUCAUAGAUGGCUGUCUUCUUGCUGCACAGUCACUUGGCAGAAAGGGUGAGGGGUUCUCUCUCUGGGGCCACUAAUCCCUUUCAUGAGGGCUCCCUCCCCCUCAUGACUUCAUUGAGAGUCCCUGUGGACCUAACUGUGCAUUGCUGGUGUCAUGGAAAGACUGUGGGCUCUGAAGAUGGACAGUCUUGCUCAAGUCCUGAGUCUACUAAUUACUGGCUUUGUGUCUUCCAGCAAAUGAUUUAAUCUCCAGUCUCAGUUUCCUCAACUAUAAAAUGGAGAUUAUACUACCUAUUGUUUAUACGAAGCUUGCACAUAGUGGAUAAUCAGCAAAUAUUAAAAAUCCUCUGCUCUCUCUCAUUCUACAAUUCCUUGAGAAGUUGAAGCACAGUGGGAGAAGAAAUAAGCUCCCACCCAAGCUUUUGCUCAUCUGUGAGGAGUCGGUCUGUGGUAUCGUCAGAGGAGUGUGAAAGGAGGAAUUUUCUUGAGACAUUCUCCAUGUAGUCUCCAUCUUUCAGACUACGAUCAUGUAAAGGAAGCCAAGGGUUUUCACAUACACCAUCACCACUCCACACAUCACCUACCGUUCUUGUCUUGAAAGGUUGAUGUGUGUUGCCCAGUGGAUGUUGAGCCAAUCAGAGAUAGAAGGAGAAACCUUAGGCAACCACCUCUUUUUUCCCUCACUACUUAUAUGGGAUGAGAUCUGCGAGCAUCCCAGAACAAACCUCGAAGUGUAAACAGUAUUUUGUACAUCCAGAGAGAAGGGUUUCAAGAUAGCUGACUAGCGACACCUGGCACUUCUGCACAAAGAAGGACCAAAACUGAACAAUCACAUAACAAGUGGAGCUUCUAAGAGAACAAUGGAAUUCAUCAGAGAAGUGACAGGGAACAUCUGAGGCUUGGAAGGAGAGGGAAGCAAAGCAGCUGGUCCCCCCAGUGCAGAGAGAAGGUAAGCAAGAGAUCUUCAGCAGUCUACAUUGCCACACUGACUCUUACAGUCCUAGCCACAGGAGAGCCC
Molecule: long non-coding RNA, 1469 nt
Filed under: Homo sapiens (human)
Lineage: Eukaryota; Metazoa; Chordata; Mammalia; Primates; Hominidae
Description: non-protein coding lnc-SEPT14-4:1
Source: RNAcentral